This 5823-nucleotide long non-coding RNA is filed under the name Capsicum annuum. RNAcentral describes it as "long non-coding RNA (CANN_LNC011936)". Lineage: Eukaryota; Viridiplantae; Streptophyta; Magnoliopsida; Solanales; Solanaceae. The record is from RNAcentral.
AAAAAAAAAAAAAAAAAAAAAAAAAAAAAAAAAAAAAUAAAAAAAAAAAAAAAAAAAAAAAAAAAAAAAAGAACAUCAGAAAGAAGAAAAAUCAAAAAGAAAAGAGACAAGAGUGUGAAGUUUGUGUUCAAGUUUUCGGUUAAAGCGUGUCUGCUGCAAUUUUCGUUCAAUUCAUCCAUACAGGUUCUUUUCCAUUCUUGUACUAAUAUUUCAUAAAUUUUAGUUCAAUGACUUUAUGUAUCAUUCAAUAUGUAAGAGUUUGAUCACUAAUAUGAAUAUGAUUAUAAACUGUAUUGUAUAUUUGAUUAUCUAAAUAUUUUAUUGUGUAAAUGAUGAAUCAAAAGUGAGAUUAAAAUUUAUAAAAGUGAAUAUUUGGAACAACGAAUAACAGAUUGUUUGUACUGAUAUAUGUAUACAUCAAAUGCACAUACAAUGAAGAAAGAUAGAAAUAAAAAAGUGUAAAAAUCAGUGAGAAUAAGGAAUUAAAAUAUGAAGAACGAUCGAAGAAUAUUUAAUUUCUUGAGUUUUUCGAAAAGUCCUCACCGAAUAUUCGCCGGAAAAAUACUAAAACCAGUAACCAAAACUUCUCCGGAAUCCAUUAAACUAACGACCAAACGGCCGGCGAAGCCCAGCACCGUCGAUCUCCCUUUUCCUUUUUCCGCUCCGUCACUCCCUUUCCCCAAGUCUAGCCGGAAUCUUCCUCAUCGGCGAAGUACAGCCGCGCCGCCCCUUUUCCCUUAUCCAGAUGCUGUCAGCCAUCAUUGGCCGAAAAAAGAAAAGGAAAAAUGCCCCCAACCGACGUAGUCUUCCCUCCUCCGGCGCUGUCGUCUUCCCGUCAGCCAAACCAGUGUCCCCUUACUCACUGCCACCGGCGAAUCUCAACCUAAAUCGCCAAAAAUGGUUAAAACAAUGGUGAGACACGUGAAUUUCUCUUCAGCAUGUAUUUUUUUUGGUUUUGGUUUAAAUCAGAUCUAUAGAUUUUUCUUUUUAGUCUAUGUAUCUACGCAGAUAAUUUUCAUGAAAAGAACAAACAAAAAGAAGAUAAUAGUUAAUGAUUCUUAGUUAGAAUAGGAUUUAUUCUCAUGAUUUUACUUUUUCUCUUUUUAGUGUUAGUGGUCAAGUCCUUUUAGUACAAUAUAUAAUAUAAUAAGUAGCACUCAUUAUUGGAAUGUUUCUUUAUUUAGUUUAUGAAAGUGAAAUAUAAAAGAAUUUAUGAUGACCAUUCAUUAAUUGUUUUUAAUUCAUGUGGGAUCAUAGGUAAUAUUUAAGUAGGGUAGAUUAUGUAUUUGCACUGUAUAUUCAUUAUAGGAGAUGUAAUGUUUAAUAAGUUUUACCAUUUUACUAUCCAAAGUAAAUAUUUUAAUCUUACCUUAAAUUUUAGUUACUUAAUAUAUAUAUAUAUUAAUUUUUGAAUCACAGAUAGGUACGUUUUCCAUGCUAAUUAAUUUUAUUCUUUGAAUUUAGACUAAUUUGAUAUGUGAUUUGGGUUUAUUUAAAGAGAAUAAUUUUAGGAAUAUAAAUUUUGCAUAAUAUGAGAAAAUAUCGCUUAAAAUGUAUUUCGCUCAAAUUUACAGUUAAGAUUAAAUAAUGCUUCGAAUAACCAAAGAUUUUAAUACUUGACAAAUUUUAGACAUUUUUUUUUUACAGAAAUUUUCAUCUCGAUUAAGAAUGCGGCAUACGCAUCUUUCUGAGACAUUUGAAAUUUAAGGAUGCACUAAUGCACCUUGAAAAAUAUUUUUUAAAAAAAUUAAUUUUCACCGAUUUAUUUAAUACAAGAGUUUUAAAAUAAUUUUAGUAUAUUAAAAAUGAGUGAAUUUAGGCCAACACAAUAUAUCAAAAAUAGUUUAAGACAAGAUAAGUCAAUAAAAGCGAUCAUGCUAGAACCACGGGACUCGAGGGGUGCCUCACACCUUCCCUUCGGUCAACAGAAUUCCUUACCCGGUCAUCUGUUUUCGCAGACUAACAAAGAGUCAUUCCUUUUGAUUAGGGAUUCAAAAAGGUGACUUGGAGCACCAUAACUCAAUUUCAAGUGGCGACUCUAUAAAUAAAAUAAUCCCUAUUCAAAAUCGUCUCUUUAAUUUGAAAACCCUUCGACUUGAUCUCUUCAAGCGAAAAAAGGGGUGUGACAUUACUGUAACACCCUGAGUCUGUACCCUAGACGCCACACGGUGCUCAUGACCUCGAAGGACCACAAGUCAACCCAUGACUGGCACCUGCUAUGAGCACUGAAUUAUAAUACUGAAAUAAUGUGGAAAAUAGGCUGAAAUGCUAUAAGGUUCAUAAUCUGAAAAUAAAUACUGAAUACUGAUAAAUAAAUACUGAAAACUGAACAUCUGUCUGAAAUAAUCUAGCCUGAAAGCCUCUAACUGUCUGAACAUAGAGUUGAUGGGACAAGUCCCCAACUAACUCCGACUACUGAAUAUACGAAACUACUAAAAUACUAAAAUGAUAACUCUGUCCUUGAACUAUGAGGACUCACCACUAAAUUUAUUGCUGAUAGGCUGGGCUGCUUAGUACGAUCAGGAGCCCGUGCGUCUGAACCUAUGAUAUAAGACAUCAUAGCACACAAGAAAGAGUAUGCAUCAGUACUUUGAAUGUACCGGUAUGCUAAGUGAGGUAGGCUAAUAUACAAGGGUUCAUAUGCAUGAAUAAUAACUGGCUGAGUAACAUAAGUAUAAUUGAAUGAGAGUACAUAUAUAUCUGAAACUGCUGUAAAUACUGAAUAUGCAAUAUUGCGUGUGAAUCUACUUUACCAUAACUGAGAUCACUGAUAACUGAAUUACUGAUAACUGGGUGACUAUGUAACUGACAGUCCUAAUUUUUUAGAACUAAACUGAGUUCUAUACUGGGUUGGGUGACUGUGUCUGAUAGUCCUGAUUCUAAAAAUUGAGCUAAGAUUUUAUACUGAGUCUGAAACUAAAACUGUAACUGUGGGAGUGUUCAUCUAACCGACAUACUCCAAUUAUAAACUGAGUUGGGGUCCAACUUGUGACCCCAGUUGGAAGGGUGUUAGCACCUUGCCAAGGGAUACUAACAAUGGCUGUGAGUUAACGUUAUCUGGAAGGAAGAAAUUUCGUCAACCCUCACUGACAUAAAAACUCAUAUGAUAUAUAUCAAACCUUAUAUGGAAGAAUAAUAUCUCAACCUACGCUGGCUACAUAGUUCUAUAACACAGGGAUUGCUACUAAGGGUCAAACCCUUCACUGACAGAAAUGCCCUCAUCCCUGAGUUCGCUCAGUGUUGAUUCCUACUCCCAACUGAAUAGAUACUAAACUGAUUUCUAGAUUGUACUAGGCUUGACUGAACUAUUACUGAUUGUGCUAACUGACUGAACUGGCUGAGUUCACUGAGCUCUGCUAACUGACUGAAUACACUGUUCGGGAUACUGAGCUGAACUGGACUUAUACUGAAUUUCACUGAGUUUUGUAACUGACUGAGUACUACUAUUCAUGACAUUACUGAGACUAUUCUGUAACUACUAUAGCUCUAGGUAAACAACUAGAUUUUUGGGUAUUGAAUACCCCAGGACUCGAAGGCAUGAAAAGUAAAGCAAGGCAUGAUUUUGAAAAGCAUAACAAUAAAUACUUGUUAACAAUACAUUUACCUAGGCAUUUUGUCAAACAUUUGAGAUACAUGAACUUGUACAUGAAUGGGUCCACAUGAUGACAUAUCAUGAUUUCACUAUUCAAUUCACAUAGGCACUCUAUCAAACACUUGGGGAUCAUGGUUAUUUCACAUGAGAAUAGUCAACACAUAAACAUCAUGGAUACAAUAAUCAAUUGUAAUUUCAAGGGUUUAACAUGCAGAUCAUAUAACUCACCACACAUACUAAUUUAAUUUUAUGAAACUUGUAGUAAAUCAUGGAUUAAAACCCAAAUAAUAUCAUGAAUAUGAGUACAAUCAAAUUCAAUAUGAAAUUCAUGAAAGCAAUCAACCUGUAAUUUUAAAAGAGGUUCGUGAACUCCAAGGGUGGACGAAAACCCUUAGAUGAACACCUAACAUACCUUGUUAAUCAAAUUCAUGAAGAUUGAUGGUGUGUUCUUGAAGCUUGAACUUGAAAUUGGAUGCCCUAGGGUUUUGUUCUUGAGAGUAUUUGAGAGAAAGUGAGUGAUUUUACUCUUUUGGAUGAUUAAUUUUGUGUUUUGAAAAUGAUUAGGAGUAGGGAAAAUAACUUAAUUACCCCUCUGGACGCGGAAUUAAGUGAGAAAAAACUAUGCCCAGUGACGCGCUGGGCGAUGCGCCACAUCGAUGGUCAAUGCGAUAGCCAACGCGAUGCAUCGAUAUCGCAUUGGCUCACUGGAGUUUGCAUUGGGAGCUGGGGAAAAAUAUUUAUCGACGCAAUAGGCAAUGCAACACGCUGACAUCGCGUCGAUCCACUAUUCUGGACUCCCAAAUGUGCCUCAAACGAUAUUCAAAAAAUUUAAAACUCGUCCGAGAACACCUACUAACAUUCCUGAUCAUGAUUCAAACCAAGGAUCGAUAUUUUAAGGUCAUAAGAGUUGUAAAAUAAGAUUGCCAACUUAAGAAUGCUGAAAAUAGUUCUAAGUAUAAACACUUAGCUGAAAUCUCUAAGUCUGGAACCUCUUUUCAUGCUCUAAAGGACUGAGUUAAGCUAGGAUUCUGUGGGGUCUUACACUUACUCAAUAUUUUUUUAGUUUAUCUUGUAUACGAGGUUAAUGCUAUAAUGGAUUAACCAAUAUGCAAGGGCAUCUAAUUGGACUUAAAGUUUUGAUUCAGCAAGAAAGUAGAUCAGCUCAUGUAAUUCAUUGUUUUGUUCAUCAACUUCAGCUAACUCUUGUUCGUGUAUCUAAAAAAUGUCUUCAAGUUGGAGAACUUUUAUUGUUGAUUUCUAAUGUAUUAAAUGUAGUAGGAGGUUCUUUUAAAUGAAUGGAUGAACUUCGAUAAUCUCAAGAAGAAAAAGUCCAAGCGGUACUAGAUAUGGGCGAGAUUGAAACUGGUAAGGGCUUGAAUCAAGAACUUGGUCUUGCUAGAGUUACUAAUACUCGUUGGGGUUCACACUAUAAAUAGUUUAAGAACUUUAUUAGUAUAUUUGGUUCUAUUACUGAUGUCCUUGGUACUAUUGUUGUUGAUUCUGAAUUUAUUUAAGAAAAAGCUAAGGCAACAGGAUAUCUCAGAACUUGUCAAAUGUUUGAGGUUUCUUUCAUAUUGCACUUAAUGAGAGAUAUUUUAUCAAUCACAAAUGAGCUUAAUAAAUUCUUACGGAAGAAAGAACAAGAUAUUGCAAAUGUUGUUCUACUAGUUAAAGUGGUGAAGAAAUGAUUACAAGAUAUACGGGAUGAAGGAUGAGAUCCACGUAUCAAAAAUGUGUCUGCAUUUUGUGUUAGGUAUGAUAUUUUGAUAUCCAAUUUUAAUGAGUUCUAUGUUAACUUGGGAAGAUAUCAACGAAGAGUUUUUGAUUAUACUAUCUCACAUUACUAUCGCAUAGAAGUAUUUUUUAAGAUUAUUGAUUGGUAACUUCAAGAACUCAAUGAUCGUUUUAAUGAGGUGAGAACAUAUUUGCUUACUGGGGUUGCUUGCUUAAAUCCUGUUGACCCAUUUUCUAAUUUUGACAUAAGCAAAAUAUUGAGAAUGGCUUAAUUAUAUCCUGAUGAUUUUGGUGAAAAUAUAAUGGUUACUCUCAAGAAUUAGCUAGACUUAUGUUGUUGAUGUUCGUGAUGUUGAUGAAAGAUUUUCUAAUCUAAAAGGACUUGGUGACCUUUCAAAAUGCUUUAAUUAUAUUCUUGUGUUUCGUCUUAUAAAGUUUGCAUUGCUCCUUCCGGCUGUCACUGCUACAGUUGAAAGAGACUUUUCGGCAAUGAAGUU